This 253-nucleotide ribosomal RNA is filed under the name uncultured bacterium. RNAcentral's name for it is "partial 16S ribosomal RNA". It matches the Rfam family "Bacterial small subunit ribosomal RNA", at positions 524 to 776 of the family's 1533-position model. The record is from RNAcentral. RNAcentral also lists the same sequence under 1 other name.
UACGGAGGAUGCAAGCGUUAUCCGGAAUGAUUGGGCGUAAAGCGUCCGCAGGUGGCACAUCAAGUCUGCUGUCAAAGCCCCCAGCUUAACUGGGAAGAGGCGGUGGAAACUGGUGAGCUAGAGAGCAAUAGGGGUAGAGGGAAUUCCCGGUGUAGCGGUGAAAUGCGUAGAGAUCGGGAAGAACACCAGUGGCGAAAGCGCUCUACUAGGUUGCAACUGACACUGAGGGACGAAAGCUAGGGGAGCGAAUGGG